CAUUCAUUCAUCCAUCUAUCCAUCCAUCCAUCCAUCCAUCCAUCCAUCCAUCCAUCCAUCUAUCCAUCCAUCUUAUUUUUUUGAGCCAUUUCAAAGUAAGCUGCAGACUUAAUCCUCCUCACUCUGACCAGAUGCCUGACAAAGCAACUUGAGGAAAAGCUUAUUUUAGCUCACAGUUUAAGGAGACACAGUCUACCGUCGCAGAGAAGAAAUGGCAGCAGACAACUUUUUCACCUCCCUCACACCUCAAUGAAGAAGGGAGCAAACAAGACAGGAAGUAGGGGUGUACCAUAAACCUAAAGGUCUGCUCUGUGCACCCCCCCACCACGACCUCAUGACCUAUUUCCUCCAGUGAGUUGUGCUGACAACCUUCCACAGCAGCACUAGCUGUGAACCAAGUGUCCAAACACAUAAGCCAAGGGGAGCUGAUUAAUGCUCAAACCAUAACAACCCCUAACGUAUGCAUAUAUCCUCAAAUUAAAUUCUACAUCACAAAGAAUGUUGAGCAGGGAAUGACAUAGUCAAACUUAGGAGUGACAAAGAACGCACAGAUAUCAGUGAGGAUGGUAUGGAUGAAAGAGGCUUAGAGUCUAGAGACAGACAGACGGACAUUAUGAAGAUCCAGAGAGAGAGAGGAUGACAGCCUACAUCAGGGCGGGGCUGGGCAGGAUGAGAGCAGUAGACAGUAGAACUGCAUUUGAUUGAUCAGACAUAGGGGACAGAAGGAAAAUAUAAUGGACAUCCAUUGUCCCAAUUUCUAUCAUGAACAAAAGAUUAAGUGGGACUGUAUAUGUAUUUUGGAAUCAAAAUUAAGAUGAUAAAAUACAGCCAAGCAUAGGGAUCUGUGCCUUUAAUCCCAGUACUCAGGAAACAGAGGCAGAUGGAUCUCUAUGAGUUCAAGGUCAGCCUGGGCUACCUAGCAAGUUCUAGGAUAGCCCAGGGCUGCAUAAAGAGACCCUGUCUGAAACAAAAUAGAAUCAGACCUCUUCAAAGAUAGUAAAAAAUAUUGGUGAAUUUUGAGUAUAAUUUUUGUAGUAUCUAUAAAACAUCCAGAUAUAUGAUCUAGUAAUCAGAACAGAGAAUUCCUGGUUAGGGGCACUUGUCAAAAAGCUGUGUGGAGAACUCAGGUAGUGCCUAUGGCUUUGUUCCACAGAGCAAGGAGCUAUGGCCUGGAAUAAAACCAACGUGAUGCUACAUGAGGCUUAAAGGGAAAAUAGGGAAGAUACAGCCAUAAAGAAAUGAAGAAGCUGCAGUUGGUAAAAGAACCAGGAAAGGAUGAGGUCCGGGAAGCAGGGUAAGAGAGACUACAGAGAGCAAAGAACUGGCCAACAGUGCGGAAUGUUCAGGAGUCAGUAAAGGUGAGACGACUCAGAAGGGUCAAUGGGAUUUGACACCUCAGAGGUCGAUGCUGACCCUGGAAGAAAAUACUCCUCAGAGAUGGAGAAAUGGAAGCUACCAGUGGGUGGGAGGUGGAGUGACAGAAAACCAGAUACUGUGUUAAACCAACUGCUUUAGAACUUUGACCGAGAGAGAAAGGAAGAAGUUCUGUAAUACUUAUCUAGAGGAGGAUGUGCCUUAAGAUUGGAAUAUCUUCGCCAUAAUAUAAAUAAAUGUCUAUAAUUAUUAAAUUGACACAGCUUUGUGCUGGUUUGAAGGGGAAUACCCCCCACUGGCUCAUAUAUUAGGGUUAGACGUUAUCGUCUUGUUGGAGAAGGUACAGCCUUGUUGGAGGUAGUGUGUCAUUGAGGGUAGAUUUUGGGGUUUGACGCGCUCAAGCCAGGUCCAGUGCCUCUCUCUCUCUUCCUGAUGCCUGUGGAUUCAGAUAUAGAACUCUCAAUCUACUUCUCCAGCACCAUAUAUGCCUGCACACCACCCUUCUUCCUGCCAUGACGAUAAUAGACUCCGAAUAAUAAACCUCUGAAACUUUAAGCCAUCCACAGUUCAAGGUUUUCCUUUACAGGAGUUGCCAUGGUCAAGGUGUCUCUUCACAGCAAUAGAACACUGGUUAAGGUAGCCUUCCGUCUAGAACUUUAACUCACUAUGGAGGUUUGAAUAAGAAUGGCCUACAUAGGCUCAACAAUUUGAAUGCUUAAUCAUCAGGGAGUGGCACUUUUUGAAAAGGAUUAAUAGGUGUGGCCUUGUUGGAGUGGGCAUGGUCUUAUUGGCGGAAGUGUGUCACUGGGGGUUGGCUUUGAGGUUUCAAAAGCCCAUGCCAAGCCAGUUCUCUCUCUUCCUGUGGCCUGUGGAUCACAGCCACUGCUGCUGUGCCAGGUGUGCCAUCAUGCUCCCUACUGUGAUGACAAUCAACUACCUCAGACACUGUAAACAAGCCCCUAAUUCAAUGUUUUCCUUUUUAAGAGUUGUCUUGGUCACGGGGAUGCUUCGCAGCCAUAGAACAAUGAUGAAGACACUCUCAGAUCACACAUGAACUUUUGUAACUAAGUAAACUAUGUACGGAACCCAGAGUCUUCUGGAACAUGAAGGCCUGAAUAUCAGGCAGGCAUCAUUGGCUGUUAUGUCCUCAUCUCUCGAUUGAAACAUCGAUAGCCAAGAGCAACUAUGUGUCUCAAGAUCUAACAGAGAAGUAGAAAAACACCACCUGGAGGAGACAGUCCUUACUUUCUAACACAGUCGUGUGGAAGGUAGCCUAACUAUGCUCUCAAAGGCACAGCCCUGCCUAGGGAUUUCUUCCAUGCCUCACCGCAAUGUGCUCAUCUUUAUCUGGAUAAAACAGACAGAAUGGAGCCCCACUUUCACUCCCAGAUUAGAACUGAUUCCUCAUUCCUCUGCAGCUCACCUUCCAAAUGACUUCUGCUAGCUAAGCCUCGCGUCCCUUUGAAUCACAUGACGUCAGGUGAAAUCAGUUGUCCUGUGCCGAGAAGGAGAAGGAACUCAGUUUGGGGACAACUGGCUCAAAAUACAGAGAACCCUUUUUUGUUAAGUUCCCAAAAGGAACUUCCCUUGUUACUUAGAGAACACAGAAAUCUUCUCUCUAACCUCGCUGUCCUAAUACGUCUGUCUGAAACCUGAAGAAGCUCUGCCUUGCAUUGGUACUUUGCGUUUUUCUGUCUUGUUUUGUUUUUUCUGGUAAACCACUGCAAUUGCUUGGCUGUGCACGCCUUCGUGGGGCUUGGCUACUACUAUACCAUUCUGCACUUGCAAAUAUGUCCUUUUCUAGAUGUGGUGAGGAAAAAAAAAAAAAGCCUCUACAUGCUGAACUAAUGCCAUCUGCCUCCAAAAAUGCCCUAAUUGUAUCAGCCAAACGAGCAUUUCUUAUUUUUAACGCUGCCAUCACUGGAUUGUUAGAGCAGCAUUGUUAAAAGGAUAAUGACAGUGUGAGCCUCAAAUAGGUUUUCUUAAAAUGAUUGCUUUGCCCUGUGGGCACUGGCAAGGCAGUCGGGAAAUUCUAUCAGGGUCAGCAGGUCCUUGGAUGCUGCUCACCACAAGACUGGCUGUCUGAUCUUCAGGUUUUGGGGUUUUUUUUUUGUUAUCUGCACACACACAAUAUCUAGUUUUAGGUAUCGGAGCUCGCUUCUGUGCCUGUCUCAGGAUCCUUUUUACGUUAAUGGCCAGUGUUUAGCUUUCCUGUUAGGUCAACAGCUGUGGCUUCAUUUUUUAUUUUUCUCGUAUUGGUGGAAAUUUUCUUAUUCUGGGAUUCAAACACUCAUUGAUUUUGAGGAAGUUACCAUCCCAGAAAUUGACAGCCUGACUGUGAAACCACAGAUCUGCAUACUGCAUCUACUGCAUGCCUCUUUCCUUAGGGGAAGCUAUGAGGCUUGGCCAAGGCCUACAAGCUGGUAGAGUGGAAGCCAACUGCCCUGGAUGCACAGCAUGGCGGCCGCUCCACUGCUCUGUGUCUGGGAGUGGAGAGAUCACCCUGGGUUCUUCACUGGCCUCAGGUUGUAGAUAGGAAUCAAUGUGGAACUGAAACCUGACUCUGAAAAAGGGAGGCGUUUGAAUUCAAGAGAACCUAUCCAGAAGUCAAGGUACUGAUUUGAUCCAGAACUACGGAGAAGAAGGCUCAAAGAGAUCUCUGAGGAGUAGAAACUGCCCAGUGAGAGACUUUAAACUUCAAACAAAACACACGAAGCUGGAGAGGUGGCUCGGUGGUUAAGAGCACCAGCUGCUCUUCCAGGGAACCUAGGUUCAAUUCCCAGCACCCCAUGCAGCUCACAACUACCUGUAACUGUCUAGUUCUGGGGUAUUUUACACCACCUCACACAAAAUAAGAAUAAAUGCAUUAUAAAGAAAA
Rattus norvegicus (Norway rat) is the source of this 4252-nucleotide long non-coding RNA. RefSeq lists it as uncharacterized. Lineage: Eukaryota; Metazoa; Chordata; Mammalia; Rodentia; Muridae. The record is from RefSeq and is a predicted model, not a curated record.